RNAcentral lists this ribosomal RNA (447 nucleotides) under uncultured bacterium. RNAcentral's name for it is "bacterial SSU rRNA". It matches the Rfam family "Bacterial small subunit ribosomal RNA", at positions 355 to 825 of the family's 1533-position model. The record is from RNAcentral.
UGGGGAAUCUUGGACAAUGGGCGCAAGCCUGAUCCAGCCAUGCCGCGUGGAUGAUGAAGGCCUUAGGGUUGUAAAAUCCUUUCGUGGGGGACGAUAAUGACGGUACCCCAAGAAGAAGCUCCGGCUAACUUCGUGCCAGCAGCCGCGGUAAUACGAAGGGGGCUAGCGUUGUUCGGAUUUACUGGGCGUAAAGCGCGUGUAGGCGGGUCGUUAAGUUGGGGGUGAAAUCCCGAGGCUCAACCUCGGAACCGCCUUCAAAACUGGCGACCUGGACCUAAGUAGAGGCAAGUGGAAUUGCGAGUGUAGAGGUGAAAUUCGUAGAUAUUCGCAGGAACACCAGUGGCGAAGGCGACUUGCUGGACUUAUGGUGACGCUGAGACGCGAAAGCGUGGGGAGCAAACAGGAUUAGAUACCCCUGUAGUCCCUGAGCGGGCUGGCAAGGCGCAU